AUGAAGAAGGGAUUAAUACUUACAGGUCGGAGUCACCCCAAAGGCGUUUCAAUCGCGAUGCAAACGAAUCCACGGAUAUCUUGCUCAGCAGGUAAUUGUUGGACUGGCUUAUGGACUAUUUUCUAUAGCAGGGCAAUAGAGAUUUGUAGAAGUUUAGACAACAACAUGGUGAAAGUUGUUUGA
Non-coding RNA from Vicia faba (fava bean), 183 nucleotides. The record is from the annotation of a GenBank genome assembly. NCBI's taxonomy places the organism in Eukaryota, Viridiplantae, Streptophyta, Magnoliopsida, Fabales, Fabaceae.